Salvelinus fontinalis (brook trout) is the source of this 773-nucleotide non-coding RNA. The record is from the annotation of a RefSeq genome assembly. Lineage: Eukaryota; Metazoa; Chordata; Actinopteri; Salmoniformes; Salmonidae.
CAAUGGCAUAAUUAUGCUGUAUUUGCAUGAUCAGAUAUGACUGUGUAUGAUUUCAACAAUGUUAACUUGGGACACAACAUUGGGAACAUAUUUACUGACUUAUAAAUCCUCUUGUCAGGUUCAGGGUCAAGAAACAUGACUGUGCUCCAGCAGCCUGUGUCUGAGUCAGUCCAGCCAGGAGACUCUGUGUCUCUGAACUGUACAAUACACACUGAGACCUGUGUAGGAGAACACAGUGUCUAUUGGUUCAGACAUGGCUCAGGAGAAUCCCAUCCAGGAAUCAUUUACACCCAUGGAGACAGGAGUGAUCAGUUUGAGAAGAGACCUGAGGCUGGGUCUCAUACACAGAGCUGUGUCUACAACCUCCCCAAGACGAACCUCAGCCUCUCUGAUGCUGGGACUUACUACUGUGCUGUGGCCUCAUGUGGGGAGAUACUGUUUGGGACCAAGCUGGAUGUUGAACGUGGUCACUCUGAUGAUGCAAAGAUGAGAAUCUUGGUCCUUCUCUCCAUCAUAAGAACUGGAGUUCUCCUCUGCUGUCUGACCAUCUUCAUCAUCAUAUACACCACCAGGAAAUACAUCAAUCUAAGACAAAUGUCGAUGGACUUUUUGCAGUAAAUGUUGGAAAUAUCAUCACUAUGUCUUGAAAAUGAGUAUUUAUUGAGAUUGCUCAGUAUUUUCAUAUUGCCUUUUAUUAAUUAAUGGUCUGUGACCUUGUUUAAAAAGUUCUAUGUCAGUUGAAAUUCCCUGUAUAUGCUGCUUCUUUUAGCAUU